GGACAUAGACUUGCGUCAAAUCGAAACCGGUCUUGAAAACCGGAGUGCCCGCAAGGGUACCCAGGGUUCGAAUCCCUGUCUCUCCG
RNAcentral lists this transfer RNA (86 nucleotides) under Planctomycetaceae bacterium. RNAcentral's name for it is "tRNA-OTHER". The record is from RNAcentral. Lineage: Bacteria; Pseudomonadati; Planctomycetota; Planctomycetia; Planctomycetales; Planctomycetaceae.